GUAGGUGGCAAGCGUUGUCCGGAAUUAUUGGGCGUAAAGCGCGCGCAGGCGGUUCUUUAAGUCUGAUGUGAAAGCCCACGGGCUCAACCGUGGAGGGUCAUUGGAAACUGGAGAACUUGAGUACAGAAGAGGAAAGCGGAAUUCCACGUGUAGCGGUGAAAUGCGUAGAGAUGUGGAGGAACACCAGUGGCGAAGGCGGCUUUCUGGUCUGUAACUGACGCUGAGGCGCGAAAGCGUGGGGAGCAAACAGGAUUAGAUACCCUGGUAGUCCACGCCGUAAACGAUGAGUGCUAAGUGGUUAGGGGGUUUCCCGCCCCUUAGUGCUGCAGCUAACGCAUUAAGCACUCCGCCGUGGGGAGUACGGCCGCAAGGCUAG
This 376-nucleotide ribosomal RNA is filed under the name uncultured organism. Its description in RNAcentral is "partial 16S ribosomal RNA". It matches the Rfam family "Bacterial small subunit ribosomal RNA", at positions 527 to 897 of the family's 1533-position model. The record is from RNAcentral.